AGAAUUUGAUUAGGAUUUGAUUAGAAUUUGAUUUAGGAUUUAAAAUUUACUUAGGAUUUUAUUUAGGAUUUAAGAUUUGUUCAAGGUUUGAUUUAGGAUUUAGGAUUUGAUUAAGAUUUGAUUUAAGAUUUAGGAUUUGAUUAGGAUUUUAUUUAAGAUUUAAGAUUUGAUUAAGAUUUAAUUUAAGAUUUAAAGUUUGAUUAAGAUUUGAUUUGGAGUUAAGGAUUUGAUUAAGAUUUAGUUUAGAGUUUAGGAUUUGGUUAGGAUUUGAUUUAAGAUUUAGGAUUUGUCUUGGAUUUAGUUUGGGAUUUAGGAUUUGAAUAGGAUUUGGUUAGAAUUUGAGAUUUGUCUAAGAUUUGAUUUAGGAUUUAUGAUUUGGUUAGGAUUUGAUUUAGAGUUUAAGAUUUCGCUAGGAUUAAGUUAGGAUUUAGAAUUUAUAUAGGAUUUGAUUAGGCUUUGAUUUAGGAUUUAAAAUUUAUCUAAGAUUUAAUUUAGGAUUUAGGAUUUGUUUAGAAUUUGAUUGAAGUCUAUUAGAAUUUCAACUAGGAUUAAAUUAGAACUUGGUUGAGAUUUAUUUAAGAUACAUUGUGAUUAUUUUUAUAUUUUUUAAGGCUUCUUAAGGAUUCUUUUAAGAUUUAUUAUGAAUUAUCUUUGAAUCCUUUUAAGAUUUCUUAUUGUUUAUUUUGUAAUU
RNAcentral lists this long non-coding RNA (691 nucleotides) under Physcomitrium patens. RNAcentral describes it as "long non-coding RNA (PPAT_LNC011789)". Lineage: Eukaryota; Viridiplantae; Streptophyta; Bryopsida; Funariales; Funariaceae. The record is from RNAcentral.